UUAAUCUUAUGUUAGAAAACUUAGAGUAGCAUGAGGAUUUCUAUGAAAGAAAGAUUAAAGUAAUGGUGAACCUGUAGGUCUGGACACAAAAGACAGCACAUUUCAGUGUUAAACUAACCAGCCCCAGUGGGGUGCACAGAAACUGGAAAUAUCAAUUCAGAUGUUAAUGAGUGCUGAGACCUACAGACAAGAUGUAACUAGGCCACUAUUAGCAAACUGCAACUUCAGGUCUUGGACAAUCCUCCAAAUCUUUUGGAGUAAUCCAGAUGGAAUAAUUGCUUGGAUGACAUCCUAGCAAAGGAUAUGGUAGAACAAACUAGUUUUCUGAAGUGGCCCGUACUCCAUCUGUAACUCAUUCUGCUCAUACCAGGGACCUCUUAGGGUCUCACAGUCCUAUUUGUAUUUCCAUUAGAGAUUCCCACCUGUUGUGGGAAUUUUUUAUUCUUAUUAUUUUCUUAUUUUUAUUCUUAUUAUUAUCUUAUUUUGAAUGAGAGUUCUUUUAGGGUGCUUUUCAUUGAGAAAUUCAUAGAGAUUUCAAGAGGAAAACAAGCUAAUGUGUGAUAGAGAAAGGAUCUGUAAGGGAUGAAGAGAAGUGUAAUGCUGUUACCUUUUAACAGUGACCAUUCUGUACCAAAAUAUUUAGAAGGACAGAACACAGAAUAAAGCUUUAAGGCCCUGAAGGGAUCUGAAAGAAAGCCUCAGACACAACAAUCAGAAACCUUGAUAUCCUUGGCAAGUUGUGGCUCAUCUCUUCCAGCCAAAUUAGAAGCGACAAGUGUAAUUGCUGAACACAUCUCCUCUACACAAUGGCUGAUGUUCUCUGGAGAAAUCCUUUUGCUCAUGUAAAAAAACCCCAUCAACACUGAGAUAAGAAGAGGAAUCUGAACAAGCUCCAGAAGUGGGCUAAUGAGUGAAACUCAUGAGGUUCAACAAGAUCAAGUGCACGUGCACUCACAGCCCAGAAAGCCACGUCUAUCCUGGACUGUCUCAGAAGAAAUGUGACCAGAAGGAGGUUGAACGAGGUGAAUCUUUCCUGCUACUCCACUUUCCGCAGGUCACUCUUGGAGCAGUACAACCAGCUCUGGGGUCCAUCCAGCAUAGGAAAGAAAUGGACCUGUUGGAGGAGUUCCAGAGGAGGCCCACCAAUAGGAUCAAAUGGGCUGGAGAAUCUCUCCUGUAAGAGAGGGGGAGUUUUUGAGGCUAGAGAAGAGAAGGCUCUGGGGAGACCUUAUCCCAGCUUUCAGUACCUAAAGGGAGCUUGUAAGAAAGAUAGGAACAAACUUUUUUAGUACAACCUCUGGCAACAGGGGACAAGGGGUCGUGGUUUUAAACUGAAAGAAGAUAGAUGUAGACUAGGAGAAGAUUUUUUACAAGGAGGGUGGUGAAACACUGAUAUAGGUUGCCUAGGAGGUGGAUGUUCCAUUCCUGGAAGCAUUCAAGGUCAAGUUGGAUUGGUGCUCUGAGAAACCUGAUCUAGUUGAAGAUGUCCCUGGUCAUUGCAGAGGGCUUAGAUAAGAAGACCUUUAAUGUUCCCGACCAAUCCAUACUAUUCAAUGAUUCUAAGUCUAGAAAACCAACUAAUUGGUAAAUCAACAGCAGUACAUUAAUUCACUCAAACCUGAAUUAAAUGUUAUCUAUUUCAUACAUUGCACACUGAAAGAAAAAGAAAAAAUUCAGAUAUUCAGAGCAAUAUGUAAUGAAAUAUGAUUUUUAACCAAAUAGAGUUAUUAUUGUUUAUCACCCUGUCAUACCAGCUUGCUUUUGACUAGCUAAUACACUCAAUAACAUUACAGAAGUUAGAAAGAAUUGUCUUUGAAUUAUAUUUGGUGAAUAAUUACAAAUCAUGAAUAAUGAAUAUCAAAAUGAAGGAAACUGUCUGCACACAUUUCAUCAACAGAAAGAACUAAAUACAUUUAAUAUAUUUUUUAAGGUAUUCUUUACCUUCUAGUUACCAUCAGAUAUAUAUGGAGAGCUGAGUAGAAAUAUCUAAAUGAAAAUGUAUAAGCUGUUAACUUCAAUGCCCUCUGUCAUAAAAUCAAGCCAUUGACAGCAGUCAUAAAUGCAGUGUUUAAUAUCUUAAACCAGGCAGAAUCAGAAUUCGUGUGGCAACAUUAAAAAAUAAAUAAAUAAUUCAAAUAUUCAUCAAGGAAAAAAAACCACUUAAAAAUUACAACAAAGGAAUAGGUCAAAUCUAAAAAAUCUGAGUAAUGGUCCUACACACCAUUGUACCUAGUAAAAGCAUGGAAAUCAGAAAAUUCAGUAAGCUUUUAAAUUGUAGAUGAAUCUGAAAAUUAGAAACAAAUCACUGCUGCAGUAUGUGCCCCAAGGCUGUUAGUCUCUUCACACACAUCUGAAAGAUUCUGUUGAUGAAUGUGUUCAACACAAGAAGAUAAAUUAAAUUUCAAAUUAUGUAUUUUUCUGGAAAAGUGAAAUUAUAUUAUUUAAUAUUGAAAUUAUAUAUUUUCCUGCAAAUAGGACUCCAAGAUAUCUGUGUCACAAAGUGCUAGCAGUGGGAGACAUUCAUAUAUCAAAAGUGCAUGUCUCAUUUCAGAAAGAUGUAGUAUUCAUGUCUUAAGUCUUUUUUGAGGAUACCACCAUGAUUCUAUUCCACAAUCUCCAUUUUUUGGUUUUGCUUAAAAUAGCUGCCAAAUGAAAAAGUCCAUCUUUCCCUAUCCAUUCUUACCCUCUUCAUUUCUCCUCUCUCAAUCAAAAGAAGCAAGGAGCAGAAGGAUGUAGUCUGUCAAUAUAUCCCAAUUUAAUCCAAACCCCUUGGUCAUACCAGGUUCAAUGUCUGGAGAACUUCCACAUUGCCACAGAAAAUUAAACUAAUCUGGAUAGAUUCACAGGAAGCUGUAUUUUCUGCUGAAUGAAAGCUUUGGUGGUUUUUACCAUUUUCCAUUUCAGACUGAAACCAUUAAGGAAACACAUGAACACCUGAAAAACAAAGUGAUUCUAAGACUUCCAGCUGUGAGUUGCAUUAGGGCUUUUUACAAUUACCCAUUUUCUAGCUGCCAAUUUAAAAUGAUCUGGUUAUUACAUUUUUUCUCAAAAUAAGGAUCAAGUUCCUUUAAGAUUUAGAAAAUGUUGUGGUGAUGGAGAGACCACCCUGUUGGGGCUGUUCCUGUUGCACUGUGCUUUCUGCACUGAAAUUUUCAUCCAUUUUCAUCCACACUGGAAAUUUCUGUGUUGAGUCUUCACUGAGUAACUACUCAGCCUUCAUGAAAAGUCCGUGUGCCUUCAUGGGGGUACGUGGGAAGAGGUAAGCUGAACUGGGGAGGCUGUGACUGUUGGAGGGUAAAAGAUAGAAUAGAGGGAUAAGAGGGUAGAAGAGUUCCAGGAUGACUUGGCUUGAGGAGAAUAAACCUGGUAUCAGGAUUCAAAACUGGAAAGGUGUGGAGAAUAUGCUAGGCAGAAAGGGAAUUAAGGUUUCAAAACAACGUUUUUCUAUUUGAUCACCAGUUAUGAUUAGGUAUUCAAAUUAAUAAUCCUAAACUGAGCGUAAGUAAUUUUAAAUGUAACACUAGAAAAUGUUCCAUUUUGCCCUUUAAUUUGGAAUGCUUAUAAGAGACAUUAUUUUUUUUUAAUCUUGUAAAAGAAACGAAGGUUGAAAACAGGGACUAAAAUAACACUCCUCAUAUUUUCCUACCUGAAAUGAAGAUAAAAUAUAUCUUAGGAACAGGAGAUAAUACUGUCCAAUGUCUGCAAGUUUUCUGCAGUAUGAUUUUAUUCUGUUAUUAACUCACUGAAUGUAACCAGUGUCAGAAUACUGAAAACUGAUGUGAGAUUUCUAUUAAUAACACUGAACAUAAACUUUACCAGAAGAUAUAUUUGGUACUUAUGUCAAGAACAAGUCUUCCAGAUGAAUAUAAACAGAGUAUUUCUAAAAAAAUAAAAUUAUACAGUGUAUGGUAUCUUUAUACUGCAUUUUUAAUAAUAUCCAUAAUUAGCCUUCCUUCCUUCCUUCCUUCCUUCCUUCCUUCCUUCCUUCCUUCCUUCUCCUACAUAGAUAUCUACCUCUCUCUCUCUGUUUACCUAUUUACCUUCUUAUAUUCAAGAAGUCAGGCUGUAAAAUUCAGUUUCUCCUUUUUCUUUACAGAUUAUGAAAGGAUUUAUUCAUCUCGUGAUACAAGGGGAGCACAAGUCAAAGAAAGAAGAACGAAAGAAAUUUGACUCUUGCUAAGAUCUUGUCCUAAAGGAUUGAUUUCACUAAGAAUGCUGGAGCCUAAAACAGGACUUCAGGGGCAGGAUACGGUUUGUUUUGAUCCCCAUCUGAAAGAGACUCAAAAGCCAAAUGAUGAAAAACAGACUCAAACUUCUUUCUCCACUGAGUUUGACAAAUUAUUCUAAUAUGCAGCAAUCAUAAGGAAAAGCUGGCAUACAGCAUCUUCUGGAUUAUCACUGGAACAGGUUUUCCAGAAAAGCUACGGUUUCCCCUUCCCUGGAAGUGUUCAGGGCCAGAUUGGAUGGGACUC
Long non-coding RNA from Corvus hawaiiensis (hawaiian crow), 4472 nucleotides. RefSeq lists it as uncharacterized. Lineage: Eukaryota; Metazoa; Chordata; Aves; Passeriformes; Corvidae. The transcript is spliced from 4 exons. The record is from RefSeq and is a predicted model, not a curated record.